GAUCCAAAGAGGGUGGCUUAAAUCUUUGAACUUCAUAUGUUUCACCUUGAUGGGCCUCCUCUGGUUCAAUAGUGCAUUUAUUUGAAGUGAAUAGAUCGAACCAGGUAAAACAUUCUUUGGCAAUAAUGAAAGUUUAGGAUUGAAAGUGAUGAAGGCGUGGGGAGAUCCCGGAACUAGAUUCUGUAUUUGAGAUUAGGCAGAGAGAUGUGGUUUCAAGCUUCUUGUUCAUUUUCAGCUUGUGUUUUUGUGUUUCCCCACACUCACAGGAAUGUCUGUGGUACAAUGUAUUUGAACAUAGUUAAUAAAGAUGAUGUUAGUGAUGUUUAUUGCUACGUUGCACUACCAGACCGUUCUUCGCCUGUAGUUGUCCAAUGGCGCUAAGAUUUGUAACCCUGGAAUUUGAAGCAGUAGUGGGCGACUAGGCAUCUCAAUUUAAGCUUUGUUGUCUAUAGCAAAUAUCUAAGGUUCAGA
This 471-nucleotide unclassified non-coding RNA is filed under the name Hevea brasiliensis (rubber tree). Lineage: Eukaryota; Viridiplantae; Streptophyta; Magnoliopsida; Malpighiales; Euphorbiaceae. The record is from RNAcentral.